CUUGGCACUGGCGGAAUGAUCAC
This 23-nucleotide microRNA is filed under the name Lingula anatina. RNAcentral describes it as "Lan-Mir-96-P1_5p (mature (guide))". Lineage: Eukaryota; Metazoa; Brachiopoda; Lingulata; Lingulida; Lingulidae. The record is from RNAcentral.